GUACUUUCCUGGCAGGGGAGAUAGCAUACCAUGGUCAUGUGACUGCUUUCCCAAGGGGAGGCUCGUCCAUUGUAGUCCCCAUGUGCUGAUCAUAGGAUUUCCCCAAAUAUGGAGACCGCAACUGUUUAAUUUAUGGUGUGGGGCUAAUGGGGAGGAUACAGACUAUAUUCAAGCUCUCCCUUA
Molecule: small nuclear RNA, 183 nt
Filed under: Peromyscus maniculatus bairdii (prairie deer mouse)
Lineage: Eukaryota; Metazoa; Chordata; Mammalia; Rodentia; Cricetidae
Description: U1 spliceosomal RNA (ENSPEMG00000002079.2)
Rfam family: U1 spliceosomal RNA
About the family: U1 is a small nuclear RNA (snRNA) component of the spliceosome (involved in pre-mRNA splicing). Its 5' end forms complementary base pairs with the 5' splice junction, thus defining the 5' donor site of an intron.
Source: RNAcentral